UGGGGAAUUUUGCGCAAUGGGGGAAACCCUGACGCAGCAACGCCGCGUGAGUGAUGAAGGCCUUCGGGUCGUAAAGCUCUGUCAGAGGGGAAGAAAUGCAGGGGUGCUAAUAUCAUCUUUGCUUGACGGUACCCUCAAAGGAAGCACCGGCUAACUCCGUGCCAGCAGCCGCGGUAAUACGGAGGGUGCGAGCGUUGUUCGGAAUUAUUGGGCGUAAAGCGCGUGUAGGCGGUUUGGUAAGUCUAAUGUGAAAGCCCCGGGCUCAACCUGGGGAGGGCAUUGGAAACUGUCAGACUUGAAUACGGGAGAGGGUAGUGGAAUUCCUGGUGUAGGAGUGAAAUCCGUAGAUAUUAGGAGGAACACCGGUGGCGAAGGCGGCUACCUGGACCGAUAUUGACGCUGAGACGCGAAAGCGUGGGGAGCAAACAG
Molecule: ribosomal RNA, 429 nt
Filed under: uncultured bacterium
Lineage: Bacteria
Description: bacterial SSU rRNA
Rfam family: Bacterial small subunit ribosomal RNA
Source: RNAcentral